Long non-coding RNA from Triticum aestivum (bread wheat), 3408 nucleotides. RefSeq lists it as uncharacterized. NCBI's taxonomy places the organism in Eukaryota, Viridiplantae, Streptophyta, Magnoliopsida, Poales, Poaceae. The transcript is spliced from 4 exons. The record is from RefSeq and is a predicted model, not a curated record.
UACGUAAUAUUAACUUUUGUCAAAUACUAAAUCUGUUGUCAGAUCUGGCCUUAUCUUCUCGCUGCCUGGAUCCAAACCCUAGCCUAGCCUAGCCGCCUCUCUCUCCUGCUCCUCUCCUCUCCUCAGAUCUCCGACCACCACCACGGAAGGAUCCAUGGGCUCACCCUUCCUUCCUUGCAACCAACCCCCUGCCACCGUGCACCCUUCUUCCAUGGCGAUGGCGAUGGCGAGAGAGAUGGAUCUAGCCCCGCCGAAUCGAGACGCAUACCCGCCUCGCUGGCCGGACGGCAGCAACGUACCUCCCCUCACCCCGUCCAUGUCCAGAUGGGAAACAGCACGGUGGCGACCGGAGACUCUCACGGCGCUUGUUCCUCUUAUGGAUGGAUGGGUGACAGGGUUGGUUGGAUCUCUCUCUAUUUUAUGUUACACUAGUAUUACAGAUGGAUAUUUCCCAUCGAUCGAGUAAAACGAAUAUCCCAGCCGCAUCAGGCCCUGUUAGGCCGUCUCCUCUCCUGUGUAUGUCCCACCACUUCGGCAAGAUGGAUUUGCUUGUGUUUUAGAGGCCGUAUGCUCUGUGAAGGCCUCCAGCUCUGUUUUGUCUGAUGCAAAGCAACUUCCUUGAUCCUGGUAGUCGCUCUAUCAUCUCGUGAUUCUAUCAUCUUGAAAAGCAUUUCUUUCAUCCUUAUGUUUUAGAGGCUGCAUUUGAUGCACACUUGUGAAGGCCUCCAGCUCUGUUUUGUCUGAUGCAAAGCAACUUCCUUGAUCCUGGUAGUCGCUCUAUCAUCUCGUGAUUCUAUCAUCUUGAGAAGCAUUUCUUUCAUCCUUAUGAAUCCUACAAAUCAAGUCACUCCAUUGCUUGUGAGGUGUAGCCAAGAAGAAGACUAAAGUGUUGAAAUCACAGAAGACUAAAGUAUUGAAAUCUUCAUAUGAGUCUCACUUUUUUUAAAUCAAGUCGUCCCAUCGCCUGUGAGGUGUAGCUAAGAUACAACUUCAGUAUUCAGCAAGAUUAAAUAGCCAAGAAGAAGAGAGUGUAGUGUGGCCCUUCCUGGCACCUCCUCUAAGCUAAGCAUAAAGUGUUGUGAUACAAGUCUCAUUUUUUUUAAGAACAAGAAGAAGAAGGCGAAGGUGUAGUGUGUAGCCGUGCUCGUAGGGUCGCCCGCUGGGGAUUUCUUCUACCGAUACAAUAGUUUUCAAUUUCCUUACUGUACGUGUGUCUGGACCUUGGAUUCUUCUGGCUGUUUUUGAUAUGAUUCUCUCUUUCCCUGUGCAGGUAUGAAGGUGUACAAAUCUUGCCCAUGAACCCACUCUUCUUGGUAAUAAUCCUACUCUAUUGUCAUAGUUUUUCUUUUUUCAAGAAAGUAUGCUAGUUGUAGAUAGUUGAUUUAAACAAAGGAAUAGUCAAGAUAAACACCUCUAGCACUGACGGGGCAGUGCAUACUGAUCUUAGCAUCGACCAGUAAGCUUACCAGUGGUGCAAAGCUUAGCAUUACUAACACAGCUAAAUAAAUGUGAUGCGGCUGCUCUCAACGGACCACAUGCACCAUCCGUAACACCAAGUUGCUCAAUUCCUUACUGAACUAAGACUAGAGCUGUUUGUAAGCAAUCUCUAAGGAUCCACCACACGGUUUACAAAACGUUAGCACGCAGAUGCAGAUUAACAGAGCAGAAAAUAGUUCACUGGGUAUUCAAAAUUGCCGAUCAAGACAUUCUCUUGUAUGCUGGUAGCAAUUCUCUAGAAGUUGAUACCUUCAUCCUGCAACCACAAAGAGAAUACAGUUUUACUUUUAGGAAAAAUUCUUGUGAAUACUGAAGUUGUCAACUUCAUUAACCAGAUAGAUGAAAAAUACAGUAGGAUGUGCAGCAGCAGUUGUUGUGCACCACACCAUUUGCAUAAAGUGCAGACUAAGUUUGUUUAUACUCAGCUUGUAGUUAUAGUUAUAGGUUUUGUCUACGCCUAAUCAUUUCAAGUGCAACCGCUGUCACAGAAUGAUUUAAUGAGGCAAUACCCUGAUUCUGCACCUAUUUCCAAGAUUCUUAUGAGGCAAUACCCUGUUCAAGCUAAUUAUACAAAAGCGUGUAUAUAACAUAUUCAUCCUUUUUUCAGAAUCAUGCAAACCUAAUCGUCCCUUUGCUUUUUUAAAGUCUGCUCAUGAUUUUGGGAUGCUCACAGGGUUCCAGCCAAAGCUGGGGCGUCCCAAGGUCCAUAGCUAGGCUAGGCUGUCCACAAAAUGAAUGGAGGGUGUGAAUGGCUCGGGCAGAUAAAAUAUAAUGUCCAGCAGCACAGGAUGAACUGUUAUGCAACACACCACUACACAAGGUAAAGUAAUACUCCCUCCGUCCGAAAAUACUUGUCGGAGAAAUGCAUAAAAAUGAAUGUAUCUAGAACUAAAAUACAUCUAGAUACAUUCAUUCCUCCGACGAGUAUUUCCGGACGGAGGGAGUACUACAGGAAAGGAUUACACUUUACUUGCUGUCGGGUGGUAUAUGAUACAUCAUACCUGUAGUGGUGGGGCACAUAUGAUUCUGUGCAUUGAUUAGUAUUCUGGUUUGCUAUCUCGAGACUACUUUUAGUGCCUAAUGCCUAUGGUUCUUAGUUAUUACUCCCUCCGCUCCAUAAUAUAGUGCCUAUAGAUUUUUUGAGAAGUCAAACUUUGACCAAGUUUGUAGAGAAAAAUAUUUAUAUCUAUAAUAGCAAAAAUAUAUAAUGUGAAACUACAUCUUAUGAUGAAUCUAGUGAUAUAUGUUUCGCACUCUAGACGUAAAUAUUUUUCUCCACAAACUUGGUCAAAGUUUUGUGAAGUUUGACUUUUCAAAAAAUCUAUAGGCACUACAUUAUGGAACGGAGGGAGUAGUACUCGCAAUUUAUAUUUGACGAGGUGUAUACCAUGUUAAGCUAGCGGCUAUAAAAGUUUUGCUAAUUUUAUCACAUAACCUUCAGGUUACAUAUGCAGUUUCCAUAAAUAAAACCUGAUGUGUAAAUCAUUUGUUGUGCAAGUAUCUAAAUUCGUAGUGAUGGAGAUUUUCGAAGCAAAUCAAAGGCUGGCUGGCUACCUUUCCCUUUAGUGUCCCCUUAGCACAUUGAGCACUCUACUGAUGACUGGCCCAACGCUUCACCUGAAAAAAUAAAUGAAAAAUGGCGUCAAGUAAUGAUGCAGGUCAGCUUUUUGCAGCAAUGCUUCAAGGAGAAUUGGUUGAGGGAAGUAUCAUCAGCUACUCACGAGAGCUCCGAUUCUUAGGCCCUUGACCCUGAUCCCCAUGUUAGCAAUCUCAUUGCGUCUGGUUGAACUUUGCUUUAAAUCAAGUCUGCACAGGAGAGGGAAAUUCUGUAAAAAUGGUUGUUUGUAUGUUUGUAAAUCUUGCAAUUUUCAUUUUAUUUUGCACUCGUCUACGUACUUGUGCUCUCGGACA